CUUAAGGCUGCUGCAUCUUGCAAGUCAGAAGGAAGAUGGAGAUUGAAUCAGCUAGUGGUGACAGUGAAUUCUUUUAGCCUGGAAUCACUACCAGCUCCUGUUUCACAUUCCUGUACAUGUCAGAAGUGCAGGGCAGGAGGGGAAAGAUUCCACGCUUUUGUUGCUGAAAACAACAUCGUAUGACAUGGAAUAACCUUUUGAUCAGUUUGGAUCAGCAAUCCUGGAUAAGUCUCCUGCCAAGGUCUUGCUCACA
Pseudopipra pipra is the source of this 253-nucleotide long non-coding RNA. RefSeq lists it as uncharacterized. The transcript has 3 exons. The record is from RefSeq and is a predicted model, not a curated record. Lineage: Eukaryota; Metazoa; Chordata; Aves; Passeriformes; Pipridae.